Molecule: non-coding RNA, 79 nt
Organism: Lasiosphaeria miniovina
Lineage: Eukaryota; Fungi; Ascomycota; Sordariomycetes; Sordariales; Lasiosphaeriaceae
Source: the annotation of a RefSeq genome assembly
GGCCCGCUGGCGUAAUGGUAGCGCGUCUGACUACGAUAUUGCAAUCCAAAGGCUUCAGGUUCAAGACCUGGGCGGGUCG